RNAcentral lists this ribosomal RNA (201 nucleotides) under uncultured bacterium. Its description in RNAcentral is "partial 16S ribosomal RNA". It matches the Rfam family "Bacterial small subunit ribosomal RNA", at positions 328 to 538 of the family's 1533-position model. The record is from RNAcentral.
ACGCUCGACACCUACUGGAGGCAGCAGUGGGGAAUAUUGCACAAUGGGGGAAACCCUGAUGCAGCGACGCCGCGUGAAGGAAGAAGUAUUUCGGUAUGUAAACUUCUAUCAGCAGGGAAGAAGAUGACGGUACCUGAGUAAGAAGCACCGGCUAAAUACGUGCCAGCAGCCGCGGUAAUCUGAGGCGGGCUGGACGAAGGC